CGUGAGAGAAAUUUGCUCACAUGGUUAUGCAGGCUGAGAAAGCCCCUGGAAAACCAGAGCUGUUGGCAGCAAAGCUCAGUGCAAUUGGGAAGUUCCAAGAAUCUGAGAAGCUAAUAGUGUGGCUCUCAGUUUGAGGCUGAGGAAGAAUUCAAGGCUAAAGAUCCUGGAACUAGGAUGUCCAAGGGGAGGCGGAGAAAGGCAUCGUGCUCCAGAAGAGAAAGAAUUUGCUGUGUUUUCAACUCAUUGUUCUACGCAGGCCUCCUGCCUAUUGCACGGUGUCUACCUGCAGCAAGGGCAGAUCUUUCCCACUCAGUCCACCGACUCACAUGCCGACCUCCUCAACAGAACACCGUCACAGAAACUCCAUCCACAAACCGUGCUCCUCCAGCCACCUCGCCAGCCCUCGAGACAAUACCACCGACUCCUGGGAAUGAGCAUCACUGAGAAGGAUGGGACCCAGCAGUGUCCGACGGCUUGCAGGGACUGGGCUUCUCAGCCCUGUCACACCUCUGCAUGCAUCCCCCUCACUGACAUUGGCUUUUAUUCAGCAACGUGGAUGAAAGUCUCCUAGACAUUUCUGUGGUCAUUUCCCAAGCAUGAGAUCCUCCAGGCGUAUUCCUGUUGUGACAAACAGCAAGACUUCCUUUUUUAUGGAAAAACAAACCCAGCCCGAUACAAUUGCUCUGAAGAAUCCUCUUUCACGGAAUGUGUGCGUUCUUGCAAACGAGCCUCAUAGGUUUCUGCAGUACGGAUGAAAAGGUAGCCGAUCCUGGGAAGAAGGUGGACUGCUGUGACCUGGCAACCACAAGCAAUGUGUGCAAGGGACCUCAGUGUGUCUGCACUGCUGGCAACCGUGAACGAGAGGCUUCCCAGAGGCUGGGAAUUUCAGGAGGAGGUAGGUUGACCCAGAAGCCUCACUGGGAGUGGGCAAUUUUCUUGCCCUACAACAUGAGGGGGGAUGGGGGAGGCUUCGGCAUCACUUGUCACUCAUGGAGCCCUGGUCAUCUGCAGACUCCAAAGGUGGCGCCUGAGCCACACAGAGCUGACCCAGAAACCUAACAAACAUCUCAGGAGCAGAGCGGCUAGAGUGAGCAAGACUAGGAAGAAACUAUGGAAUCUGAGCUGAAAAUUAACUUCAGAUGAAGACUUAAAGAGAGAUUAAAGACUGAAAUAUAAAAACCCAGGAGAAUUACUUAAAGUUUAAGCUUCAGCCCCUCAAAGUUAAAUCCCUCACUUGCGUAAGCUUCUUCUAAUGCCCUAGGAAAGGCCUCAGUCUUGUGUCCUCAGGGUCGUGCAAUUUUGAAAAUUUGUCAAAAGUAUUUUAACCACCAACAGCUAAGACCACUGUCUUUUCCCCAAAGAAUCAUGAACCUUCCUGAUUUGUUCAGGACAGAGGGAAUUUCUGGGAUGUGGGUAUUUCAAUGCUAAAACUAGUGAAGUCCCCAGCAAAUCUACUUUCCAUUCUCCUGUCUUUCCCUAGUGUCUAUUAAUAGAAGAUUGUACUGGAAAUGGCACAGCUGCUUGUGGGAACUGAUGGAGGGGAGGCUGAACAGAGGAUGCAUUUAGCUUGGGCUCAGUGGCAUAUUUGUGGGUGAUUUCUAGCUAUCUUAUGUUUAGUUAAAGUACUGGUAACAAUCCUAGCAUUGGAACAGCCUCCAGGAUGCUAGCACCCCCUUACCCAACUCAAUAUUUUCUCAAGAAGAUAGAAGACUACCCUUGUUAAACACCAUGAACAUCUGCUAUGUUUAACAGCAGAAGCACAAGGCUGGUGGUGGAAAAACAAAGUUUGGAUGAUGUGAUGGUUGAUUGAUUGUGUCAACUUGAGUAAGAGAAGCCCAACUAAAUUGGCUCAGCAAUUCCACAACUUAGGCUGUGGAAGACCACCCUAGGGCAGCUGCCUGCCUGGAUGGUACUAAGGGGAAAUGAAGAAGGAUGGAUCUGCUUUUCUCUCUUCGAAGGAGAUCCAGUCUUUGCCUUCACCUUGGAUGUCAUCUCCUGGCUUCAAGGGCAGACUCUUCAGCUUCUGUUGCAGACCCUUCAGCCUUCCACGGCAGACCCAUUUACCUUCUAAUAUGGACUCUUACGGGACAUGCAGUGAGCUCCAGGCUUUUGACUGCAUCCUUUGGAUCUCCAGUGUGCGGACAGACCCUCUGCUCUCUUCUACACCUGACUCUGGCUGGCCAUUGUAAGCCAAUCUUAUAAAUUCUUACAUAUUUGUAUAUUUUGUUUGUAACUCUUUCUCUGGUAAACACUGACCGAUACAGAUGCCAGAGCCAGAGGUCAAUCUAAACAAAGGUCUUCACCUGAUCAAACACACACUCCUGAUGGUAGAAGGGAUUUUAAUUGAUACUUUGUCAAAAUGGGAAUUUUCCCAAUCAUGAACUCUGUAUAUAAUGACCAGUGAACAAUAUAUUUUCCUUUGCUGCUAGGAAUAGAGUGAAAUGUGCUUUUUCAGAUUUCAUGUUUGGAAGACAUGUCGUGGGAUAGUUUCCAAAACAGAGAGUGGGGGCAAAUGCAGCAGCCUCCAGCUUGGCUGUGCCUGCAGGCAGAGCAGGCACAGGCUGAGUACCCCUGCUCAGUCUGGCUCAGUCUGCCCACUUGCAACCAAGAGACUGAACUGGAGACCUAACCAAACCAGUGAGAACCCCCUGGGGACACCUUCCAGCCUCCAGCUUGGCCGUGCACGCAGGCAGAACAGGUGCAGGCUGAGUUCACCCGGCUCAGUCCAGCUCACUCUGCCCACUUGCAAGCAGGAGACCGAACUUCCACUUGAUUCCACACUACAGAGGCACAGAGGGGCAUAAAGGCCAUUGUCCUGAGC
Heterocephalus glaber (naked mole-rat) is the source of this 2821-nucleotide non-coding RNA. NCBI's taxonomy places the organism in Eukaryota, Metazoa, Chordata, Mammalia, Rodentia, Bathyergidae. The record is from RefSeq and is a predicted model, not a curated record.